CCCGAUUAUGGCGCGGCGGGCGACGGGGCAAGGGUCUGGUCCCAGGGCUCAGUCAGGCCUUUCCACCAUUCGACGAACCUUGUACUGUUCAUGACCCAGACCAAUGCUCGAUGUCGGGGUUGUCGUGAUUUUCACCCGAGAAAUUGCCCCACACCGGGUGUGAGUUACGCCGCAGUUACAUACUCAUACUACUAACGAAACUGAAACUACCAACCUGAAUCGAGAGGAAACUACAAGGAGGUUUAUUUACCCAGGCAUGAGCAUUCAAGAUAUAUCUAGGUAACUUCUGAUCAAAAAGAUCACUCACAAUUGACAGCUGCUGCUGUCGGUUCAAAAAGGUUUUGUAUCGGCCUGGGAGGUUGAGUUAAACUAAAAAAUUAUUGACAUAAAGGAUAUUCUUUGCUAUUGAUGAGGCAAACCAAUCACUGGUGGUUGAAAUUAUCUCAAUCGCAGGCAAUCAACGAUCCUUUAGUGUGUACACUCAGAACAUGUUUAUAGUUUAAAUUCCUAGCGACAUAAAACCGUUAAUGGUGAUGUCUGUCGUAUUCAAUGAUAGGACAGCCCUCCGUACAUUCAGCAUGGUGUUGUAAACCCCUUCCUCAAUUCGAUACCCGGCCGCCCGAAAUUAUCCUUAUUGACUCCUGUGAACCGAAAUAGGUGCCAAACUAUAACAUCUAGUCCAAACGCUAUGGAAAACCAAAAAAUAAAAACCGCAAACCGCCCAUGAUAUAACCUGCCCGGGGUGGCGAUUCCUAGAUAUUCAAAGGCAACUAUCCCGGAUAUCCAAGGUCCCCGCUCCCUCAUUCUGGAGUUUGCCGAGAAAUAUUAACAUGAAAAUUCAACCCAAUUGUUUGACUAAUGUUAUAACACUGUCUAGCCUGGGGCUCACAUUUGCUUUGGCGAGGAGAAUGGAGGACAUCAGAUCUAAUAUUAGGUUGGCGUUCGACCGGUGGGACAGAGCAAGCAGCCCCCGACAAUACUGCCUCCCAAGAAGCGAUCGGGAUACAGGGGAAUUCAAAAUGGUGGUGUGGAACUGUAGAAACUGAGUUAGAUUGCCCCAUUGAAUUCUUUGAAGCUAGGGUUAGUAGUAAUGUUGGGACACUAUCUAGAGGAGAUAGCAGACAUCCAUUUCUGUUCAUCGCUUCUAUAUGCAAAAGAUAAAAAUCGUCAGUAUGUCGGAAAACAGUGAAUCGGGGAAGAAGGGUUGCAGUAGUGAAAGCCACAUACGAGUCAAACUGCAGCAGCAUCCCCAGGACUGGAAUGAGCUGCUUCUGGUAGUUCUUGUCCCUCUGCUCUAGGAACUGCAACAGAACAUUCUUAAGGUACACGUAGUCAACCCCACCCACAUCUGAGCCCUGAAGAGUUGCACUCCUACCCUGAGAAUGAGGCGAUACGAGUCCACCACUACGUGGCUGUUGCAUAUCAGAAUCCAGUGAUGACCGUGGUGAUCGGCUAGAACCCGUAUUGCUCGACUCGAACCCAUGCCGUUUGCUGGCUUUGGACACCUUUCCAUCCUCUGUCAAUGUCCUAUUUGAUUUGCGAAGUUUAUCAAGCCGCCGGUUCGUUGCCUCGACGGAGCGGCGCAGUUCUGCAUUCUCUUUCUCCAGCUCCCGUAUCUGCCUCUCACCCUCGUCGAGGGUGUCUCGCAGGUGCGUCAUCGUCGCAUGAACGUCGCUAAGUUCCCGUUUCGAUCGCUCUGUUUCUACUUCAAGUUCACCCUGCCGCCGUUUCCACUCUUUCUGCGCGUACUCUAGCUCUUCUUUGUCCUGUUCCACUCGCCGCAACGUACGCUCCAUAUCGCGAGUUCUCGUCCUAAGCUCUUCGAUCUCUCUCGUCCGUUUGCGUCCAACGAGGCUAGCUUCGUCUUCUGCCCGAUCACGUUCUUCAAUGGCUGCUUCUAAGCGCUCCUUAAAUUCACGAACCUUAGCAUCUGUCCUCAUCUCAAUGUCUGAUAGCAGCCGUCGCAUUGUUUCACACUCUCGAGUGCGCUCAGAGAAGAGGCGGUGAGCAUCAGCGACUUCCUCCUCAAGACUGACGCAACGUUCACGAGCUUCUUUAACCUGCAUGGCCAUCUCAGACGCUUGGUCGCGCAUGCUGUUCAUUAAGCUUUGUGCACUAGCGUGCUGUGCAGUUUUCAAUUGGAGUUCAUCUCGUAAGCUUUCGAUGUCUCGGUUAAGCUGUUCCGUGUGCUCCUCAACUUCCAGCAAUCUCGUUCGCGAUGACCUUAGCUCUUCCUGUGUCUUCGCAAGGGUUUUUGCUGUCUUCUCAUUCGUCUCUAUGGCCUCUUGCUUUUUCCCUUCAGAGUAGCGUAGAUCGGAUUGCGCAACCUCCAAUGCUUGCUCUGCCUUAACUCGGCUAGAAAGGGCUUUAGUGACCCUUUGGUUCAGGGAUUUUAUUUCUGCUUCCUGCUCUCCAAUCUUACCACUUAAGUUUUUCAUUUCAGAUCGAAGGUCUUCAUGGCGCCUCUCCAAACGCUUUAGGUCGUUGGUUUUGUUCCUAAGGUCCUCUUUGGAUGUUUUAAGUUCGACUGAUUCAGCCCGAAGAUUCCUCAAUUCAGGUUGAACUUUUUCGAGAGUUUCUCUUAAGAUCGUCAAAUCCUUGAACCGUGACGCGGCGAGUUGCUGAGCAGCGGAAAGGUCUGUUUGCAAUGCCGUAGCUUUUAUCUUCAACUCCUCAAAUUCGACCGCCAGAUCUCUGUGAGCAUCCUCAUUUUGACGGGAGCUGGAAGAUACUUGUGUUCGUAGAUCAUGCAAUUCCUUUUCUAAUUCCUGGAUGGUGUGGCCAAGUGUUUUCUUUUCUGUUAAGAGUUCUUUAACUUUCUCUCUGGCCUCGACACAACUCUGUCCAAUAUCACGAAGCCCAUCACGUAAAGAAUCAAUCUCUUCUCGUAGUUCUUCUUCACCCUUAAGCUUAGAAUCAAGUCUGCUAAUGGCGGCUUCCUUCCCUGCGAGUUGUAUUGUAAGAUACUCGAUCAUUUUCUCGAGUUCAGCGAUGCCGUUGGAGGUUUUGGGUGAAGGAGGGGAUUCCGUCUUUGGAAUAAUCGGAGGCUGAGGGGCUUCAUCUGCACCGUCUUUUCCAUCCUUCUUCUUCUUCCUCUUGCUUUUCUUCUUACCCCCACCAGCCGCAGCAAUGGUAUUCUGACUAGCGACACUAGGCUGAGUGU
Molecule: small RNA, 3163 nt
Filed under: Histoplasma capsulatum var. duboisii H88
Lineage: Eukaryota; Fungi; Ascomycota; Eurotiomycetes; Onygenales; Ajellomycetaceae
Description: Histoplasma capsulatum H88 hypothetical RNA
Source: RNAcentral